CUGCCUGACCCAUGGCACAGCCGCUAUGCCUCUUCAUGAUCUUGUCUUCCCCUAGCAAAUGCAGGGCACCUGGAAAGCCGCACAAGGAGAAAGCAGAACCGCUGUCUGCCUGGAUCCCUGGAGGACCACGUGUAAGAGAGUUGACUUGCUACCCUGGACACAAGUCAAGAAGUGUUCAUUGAAAAGGAAAUCAUUUUCUUAUUUUUUAAGACAUUAACAUUUCAAGAUCUGUGUGUAAUCUCUUCCUAGCGUACCACAGCGAUGACAGAACGUGGUAUACUGAAGUGCAGUAUCUGCAGCAUCAAAAAUCUAAAGUAGACGGCAUCGGCUUAGCGUUCGCUGAUAAGCACGGGACAAUGCCACACGCCACAUUCGGGAAAGAUGAAUCUGGGUGAAGCAGCGGAGGCAGCCACAGUGGAGGCUUGCGCUGUGCAGGGAAGAGCCAAACUACGAAUGUGUGAACUGCUUGCUCCUUGUCACAGCCCACAUUUACAAGAAAGAGGUCCCUGGACCAAGGGGAUCCAUAUUUGGACCUGAAAGAGGACUGAGCAUCUUCUGGAAAUCCUGAACAUUGAGCUGGAUGGGACCUUGGUUGUCUCUCCUGGUAAGGCUCUUUUAACUUGCUACGUGAGACCAAGGUAGAAGCAGUGUCCUGGAAAUGAAAAGCAGGUGCCUGGGACGCAAAGGAGGCUUUGAUUGGAGGUGGCUUCAAAGAGUGCUCUGCACAAAUGAUGCCCUGUUCUCUGCCCUGCUUUCUGUCCUCACAUUUAAACACUGAAUGCUUGGGUGGCACCUCUCGACCCAGAUAUGCCUUGACACAUGGGAAGGUGGCUCUUCAAAGUUACCGGGUCAAAAACAUCCAAUUCAAGGAGUGUCUGACACUGUUCUUUUAUUCAAUAUCGUUUUGGUGAAUUGAAUUGGUAAAGAAAGAAAAUAAUACUCAUGGACUUGAAUCCAAUCAGCUCUGUAUUGCAGCAAAAUAACUUUCCAGUUAAUCCGUUACCAUUUUGUGUGCUUGCCUCUGCCUGGAUUUGGCCAUAGACUUUACAAUCAGGGAUUUGGGGGGUUAUAUUUUAAUUAUGGCCAUAAAAUUAUUUAGUUUUUGGUUUUAGGAAAUAAAAAUAGCUUCAAGGUGAGUUUUGGCUGUCUCGACCUUUCAUGUGAGCUGUCCAAGGGAAAUAGACAACUUUCUGGAUUCACCUUAACAUCAUUCCUACUAGUCGUUAGCAUCUUUAGCAGACUUUCCUGAAACUUUGAAGUCAGUGUGUGUUUGUGCACACACACGUGUGUCUCUGUGUACAGACUGUGUCACAUUACUGUGGAGCAACAAUGCAAUUUAAAACAAAAAAUUGUGGCAGUUCUGGUUGUGGGUAAAAUGGAGUAAGCACACUCCACCCUGUCUCUCCCACUGAAGAAAGAAAGAAAAAAAAAAAACCACAGGCAGGAUGUAUGGAACAGCCAUUUGAUGAUUCAGAAAAGUAAACAGUAGCAGGCAGAUUGGAAAAUAAAUGUCAGUAUUAAAAGUACUGAAUACCGAAUUCAAUAUCACCUGCAGGCAUUGAGUUCCCCACUCUGGACUCCUGCACCCUGAACUCAGUACAUCCUGGAACCCCAAAGUGUCCACCUGAGUACAGACAGAGAGAACCCCAGGAGCACCGUCUAGUUAGACAAGGUGCUUAUGGAAACUCAGAAGGGUGAUGAAAUUGUUCACUUCCCCUUUUCUCUUUACGCUGUUCUCCCAUGCUCCCAAGCAAUACAGUGGUGGCAAGACAGCAGCUGCCACAGGAGUCCCUAGGAGCCAAAACUACCUAGGAGGGAUGCCUUCCUCUCCUGUGAAAGAAACUGUGCUCUCAGGAGGGUGGGGAAAACCCUCUUUGCUUUUCUUCUCUUUGUCUGCUCCUCCUGCUUGGCUUAAUCUGUGAGAGCAGUUGCAGGAAUGGGUGGUGGAGUGGGAUAACUGGCUGAGGAAUAAAGAGAAAGCUGAAAUGUACCAAGAAGCUUGUGGAGAGGCAGGAGCUUGGGAAAGUGACCUCAGGGCUGUUUGUCAAUGCCUGGACUCCUACUCAAGACGUGCCUAUGUAUAUCUGAUCUUAAAUGGUAUAUGUAGAUAUUGAGAACUGAGCUGUAAAAUAGUCUAUUCUUCAAAUAUCAGACUUGCUACUGGGUGCUGAACACAUGGAAUACAUUAAAUAGCUUUGCAAAAUUUUUGAAAAUGAAACUGAUCCUUGAGCCACAACCAACCAAAACCUGUUGGAACUGCAGGCCUGAAUUCAGCUGAGGCAAUUGCUAACGAAAACAAAAACAUCAACAUUUUUGAUGUUUAAAUAGGAUUUAAACACAACUCAGCUUAUCAUAAUGAAAUAUGCAGAACAUCCAGGAUAUAGCCCAAAAUUACUCAGUAUAAAAAGAACCAAGAAAAUCACAAUUUACAAGAAAAUAAACAACAGAUGGCAAUACUAUCAUGAAGCAGAUGUUGGACAUAUCUAACAAAAGCUGUAAAACAGCUAUUAUAAAUAUGCCCCAACAAGUAAGCAUAAACAUUCUUGAAACAAAUGGAAAAGAGGCAACCACAACAAAGAACCAGAAGAUAUAAAGAAGAACCAGAUAACAAUUUUAUAACUUAAAACGAUGAUAACCCAAGUUAUCCACUAAGUAGGAUCAAUAGGAGGCUGGAGAUGACCAAGAAUAGAGUAAUAGAAAUUAACCAAUGUGAAAAAGAGAGGAAAAAAAGAUUAAAAAGAAAAGACAUCUACAACCAAAAACAUGAUGAUAAAAAUGCCAACAUUUAAGAAUAAUAGAAAAAUAUUGAUAGCAUCCAGAGAAGAUGCAUGCAUUUCUUUUGGAAUAACAACAAUUUUAUUAACUGUGGAUUUAUAUUCAUAAAUUAUGAAAGGCAGAGGGAGGUGAAACAACAUGUUUAAAGUGCUGAAGAAGAGAACUAUUUAUGAAAAAUGUAAAUACAGUGAAAAUAUCAUUCAAGAAUAAGGUGAAAUCAAGCUAUCCUAAGGUGAAGGAAAACUGAGACUUUAUUUCUUGCAAACUUACUUUAAAAGAAUUUAUAAAGAAAGUUCUUCAGAAAAAAAAAUAAUGCCAGAAGAAAACUUGGAAACUCAGGAAUGAAAAAUUGGCAAUGAAAAUGAUAACUAACUGGCAAGAUACAAUAGACUAUUUUUUCUACUGAGUUAUUUAAACUAGGUUUGACAAUCAAAAGCAAAGUGGUACCAUUUUCUGAUAAGGGUUUCAAUGUAUGUAGAUGUAAUAGUAAGAUGAUUACAACAUAAAGGGGUGAGAGGAAAGAGACCUGUAUAUUAACAAGAUUUCCCCUUUCCACUUUAAGUGGCAAUUUUAAUAUCAGAUAAAUUAUACUUCACAACAAAGAAAACUCCCAGAGAUAAAGAGGAACAAAACAUAAUAAAAUAUCAACCCACCAAGAAUAUAUAACAUCAUAAACUUGAAUGCACCUAAUAAUAGGUCUUAAAAAUGCAUAAAGCAAAAACUGACAGAAAUGAAAUAAGAAAUAUACUGAUUUGGCUGGGCACUGUGACUCACACCUUUAAUCUCAGCACUUUAGGAGGCCAAGGUGGGCAGAUCACCUGAGGUCGGGAGUUCGAAACCAGCCUGACCAACAUGGAGAAACCCUGUCUCUACUAAAAAUACAAAAUUAGCCAUACAUGGUGGUGCAUGCCUGUAAUCCCAGCUACUCUGGAGGCUGAGGCAGGAGAAUCACCUGAACCCAGAAGGCAGAGGUUGCAAUGAGUGGAGAUGGUGCCAUUGCACUCCAGCCUGGGCAACAAGAGUAAAACUCCAUCUCAAAAAAAAAAACAAAAAAAAGAAAGAAAUAGACUGAUUCACACCGUUGGAGACUUCAAUACUCUUCUGUCAGUGGCAAAUAGUGCUAGUAAACAGAAGCUAAGUGAGCUCUAGAAGAAUGUAAAAACUCCAUCAACCAACUGAAUCUAAUUGUUAUGUAUAGAAUACUUCACUACUGGUGGCAGAAUAAACAUACUUUAAAGGGCACAAGGUGCAAAAUAAGCCAAAUCCUGGAUCAGAAAAAAUAAAUGUAUUUUUAAUUUAUCACAAAAUAGAUUUUAUUUAUCACAAAGCAUCUUCUGUAUCCAUAAUGGAAUUAGGCUAGAAAUGAAUAACGUAAGGUAAUAUGAAACUCAUCAAACACAUAAAAAUUAAAGCACGUAUUAUUAAAGAAACCAUGAGUCACAGAGGAAAACUUUUGAGAAAUUAAAAAAAUUGUGAACUGAAUGAAAAUUAAAAUGCAACACAUAAAAAAAUUAAAUGCAACACAUGAAUUAAAAUGCAACACAUAAAACUGUGUGGGAAGCAGCCAAAGCAGUGGCUUAGAGUAAAAUGUAUAGCACUGAAAGCUGACAUUACAUAAGAAUGGGCAAAAAUCAAUAAUUUAAGUUUUCACCUCAUUUUAGAAAAGUAAAAUUAGCAAUGUUAUUACCAUUAAAAUCAGCACACAAGCAUAAUUUUAAAUUAUUACUACUAAUUUUUUGUUCAAAAUUGUUUUUUCAUAUAACAUCCUGUAAACACAUAUCUAUGAACUCUGUGUAGACAUGCUUCCUUGGAUUUUACGGUUUGGCUUCUCAGAUUUCACUGCAUUCAUAUGAACUUCUGAGAAAUAGGACAGACCAGUUAACAGUUUUCUCAACUACAAAAAAGGAUUUUGAACAAUUUUUAGAGUCACUUAUUGAUAAAAUAAUAUAUAGGUAUGUCUUGUGA
This 4740-nucleotide long non-coding RNA is filed under the name Homo sapiens (human). Its description in RNAcentral is "HSALNT0279075". Lineage: Eukaryota; Metazoa; Chordata; Mammalia; Primates; Hominidae. The record is from RNAcentral.